GCAUGUCUCCUUCAACAUUCUUGGCUUUAAGACCCUAACAAUCUCCAUAGCAACCUAGAACACACAGCUUGUACCCACAGGGCCCUAUUUGUCUGACCCUCCUCUGCUUUUCAUGCUUCUCUUGUUUUCACCGGCAACUUCCACACACCAAAGCAGAAGGGAAUAGCAGUACCAAACAUAAAAGUUUCUGGGAUAAAUCAGACCGCAAGCCAAUGAUACCUGUCCAGUUACAAAGAAAGGGACACCAAGAGAAGUUACAUCAGUGUCUCCUCC
Non-coding RNA from Odocoileus virginianus texanus, 273 nucleotides. The record is from RefSeq and is a predicted model, not a curated record. Lineage: Eukaryota; Metazoa; Chordata; Mammalia; Artiodactyla; Cervidae.